UGCUGUUAAAGCGUGGAGCUUAACUCCAUAUCGGCGGUGGAAACUGAUGAACUAGAGGGUGGUAGGGGUCACGGGAAUUCCCAGUGUAGCGGUGAAAUGCGUAGAUAUUGGGAAGAACACCAGCGGCGAAAGCGCGUGACUGGGCCAUUACUGACACUCAUGGACGAAAGCUAGGGGAGCGAAAGGGAUUAGAUACCCCUGUAGUCCUAGCCGUAAACGAUGGACACUAGGUGUUGCCCGAUCGACCCGGGCAGUGCCGUAGCUAACGCGUUAAGUGUCCCGCCUGGGGAGUACGCACGCAAGUGUGAAACUCAAAGGAAUUGACGGGGGCCCGCACAAGCGGUGGAGUAUGUGGUUUAAUUCGAUGCAACGCGAAGAACCUUACCAGGGCUUGACAUGUCGCGAAUCCCCUUGAAAGGGGGGAGUGCCUUCGGGAGCGCGAGCACAGGUGGUGCAUGGCUGUCGUCAGCUCGUGUCGUGAGAUGUUGGGUUAAGUCCCGCAACGAGCGCAACCACGUUUCUAGUUGCCAGCAUUCAGUUGGGCACUAUAAAAAGACUGGCGGGACCAACCGGAGGA
RNAcentral lists this ribosomal RNA (577 nucleotides) under uncultured cyanobacterium. RNAcentral describes it as "bacterial SSU rRNA". It matches the Rfam family "Bacterial small subunit ribosomal RNA", at positions 590 to 1170 of the family's 1533-position model. The record is from RNAcentral. Lineage: Bacteria; Bacillati; Cyanobacteriota.